CAAGUGUGAAGGUAACUGUCCAAGGUACUACAAGGAUGUAUGGAAAGAGGAGCGAGGGCAUCCACAGAGGAAGAAUGUGUUACAGGGGAUAGCAGCAUGACUGGAGGAGCCACAUAACCAACUCUCGACUGGCUCUAAAUACUGAGCUGGCUUCUUCCAGCAGAA
This is a long non-coding RNA of Tupaia belangeri chinensis (Chinese tree shrew), 165 nucleotides long. RefSeq lists it as uncharacterized. The record is from RefSeq and is a predicted model, not a curated record. NCBI's taxonomy places the organism in Eukaryota, Metazoa, Chordata, Mammalia, Scandentia, Tupaiidae. The transcript is spliced from 3 exons.